Long non-coding RNA from Arabidopsis lyrata subsp. lyrata, 436 nucleotides. RefSeq lists it as uncharacterized. The record is from RefSeq and is a predicted model, not a curated record. NCBI's taxonomy places the organism in Eukaryota, Viridiplantae, Streptophyta, Magnoliopsida, Brassicales, Brassicaceae. The transcript has 2 exons.
GAUGCUCCUUGAGAUUGUAAGUGGGAAGGAAAAUAGGUCCUUCUCAUACUCACUCUGCAGAACAAAUCUUCUUAGCUAUAUAUGGACCAAAUGGAAUGACGGUAAUUGGGAGGAGACAAUAGAACAAGCAAUACAAGAAUCAUCCUCAUUUCAGAAACACCAAGUCCGAAGAUGCCUAGAAGUUGGUCUCCUCUGUGUUCAACAAGAUGCAGAGGACAGACCACAGAUGCUCUCAGUGGUAAUGAUGCUUCUAAAUGAAGCAACUGAUAUCCCACGCCCUAAGCUUCCUGGUUUUUACAAGGCCGAGAAUUAUAAAGAUCAGAGUGAGAUUUACUCAACGUCUGGUUCACAAUGGUAAGAUUUGAAGACUAUAUAAGACUUUGUAAUGUCCAUUCAUACACCAUUCUAAGAAUUUAAGUUGAUCAUUCAAGAAUUA